This 64-nucleotide transfer RNA is filed under the name Lycosa sp. Its description in RNAcentral is "tRNA-Ile". The record is from RNAcentral. Lineage: Eukaryota; Metazoa; Arthropoda; Arachnida; Araneae; Lycosidae.
AAUUAUGUGCCUGAUAAAAGGAUUAAUUUGAUAGAUUAAAUCAUGAGUGAUUUCUAUUUCAUUA